GUCUACAGCCAUGCCACCCUGAACGUACCCAAUCCCAUUUGAUCUCGCAAGCUAAGCAGGGUCAGGCCUGGUUAGUAUUUGGAUGGGAGACCACCUAGGAAGACCACGUGCCGUAGGCG
Molecule: ribosomal RNA, 119 nt
Filed under: Pteropus alecto (black flying fox)
Lineage: Eukaryota; Metazoa; Chordata; Mammalia; Chiroptera; Pteropodidae
Source: RNAcentral